GCCAUGCCGCGUGCAGGAAGACAGCCCUCUGGGUCGUAAACUGCUUUUAUUCGGGAAUAAACCUACUUACGUGUAAGUAGCUGAAUGUACCGAAGGAAUAAGGAUCGGCUAACUCCGUGCCAGCAGCCGCGGUAAUACGGAGGAUCCAAGCGUUAUCCGGAUUUAUUGGGUUUAAAGGGUGCGUAGGCGGCUUAUUAAGUCAGGGGUGAAAGACGGUGGCUCAACCAUCGCAGUGCCCUUGAUACUGAUGAGCUUGAAUGAACUAGAGGUAGGCGGAAUGUGACAAGUAGCGGUGAAAUGCAUAGAUAUGUCACAGAACACCGAUUGCGAAGGCAGCUUACUAUGGUUUUAUUGACGCUGAGGCACGAAAGCGUGGGGAUCAAACAGGAUUAGAUACCCUGGUAGUCCACGCCCUAAACGAUGAAUACUCGCUGUUAGCGAUAUACAGUUAGCGGCUAAGCGAAAGCGUUAAGUAUUCCACCUGGGGAGUACGCCCGCAAGGGUGAAACUCAAG
RNAcentral lists this ribosomal RNA (514 nucleotides) under uncultured Pedobacter sp. RNAcentral describes it as "bacterial SSU rRNA". It matches the Rfam family "Bacterial small subunit ribosomal RNA", at positions 391 to 905 of the family's 1533-position model. The record is from RNAcentral. Lineage: Bacteria; Pseudomonadati; Bacteroidota; Sphingobacteriia; Sphingobacteriales; Sphingobacteriaceae.